Molecule: long non-coding RNA, 565 nt
Organism: Danio aesculapii
Lineage: Eukaryota; Metazoa; Chordata; Actinopteri; Cypriniformes; Danionidae
Exons: 3
Source: RefSeq, a predicted model, not a curated record
GAGCUGGUCUGACAGCAGGCAGUUCUGCAGGGAUCAUGGAGCUGAUCUGGUCAUUAUUAACAAUGAAGUGAAGCAGAGAUUCGUAUCUUCAUUAGUCAAUGAGAGAGCAUGGAUUGGUCUGAAUGAUAUCAUGAUCGAGGGCACCAUGAAGUGGGUGGAUAAUUCACCACUAAUUCAAGGCUACUGGUUCAGCGGUGAGCCAAAUGAUUUAAAUGGAAAUGAAGACUGUAUUGAACUGUUGCCCACACGACCCGUCCUGAAUAACUGGAAUGAUAUGCCGUGCUCACAGUUGUCAAAAGGGAUUUGUGAAAAAUAGGGUUCAUCUCAUCUUUUAAUGUCAUUGUGUUACUCUUGUAUUGUUUAAAUACUUUAUAAUAGAGUUUCCUGUCUUUAAAACAGUUUGCCGGUUAUAUGCUUUCAUGGUAUCAUGUUUAUGUUGUAUACAUUUUCUGUAAAAUCCCACAUCAAAUUCAGAUGAAAAUCGAAUUAUUGAGCUGUCAUUGUUUUUUUCUAUGCUGUUAUGAAACUGGCACCCUUUUUACAGUCUGAUUUAUUAUUCUGUUUU